RNAcentral lists this long non-coding RNA (3664 nucleotides) under Homo sapiens (human). RNAcentral's name for it is "HSALNT0405989". The record is from RNAcentral. Lineage: Eukaryota; Metazoa; Chordata; Mammalia; Primates; Hominidae.
GCUGGAGUGCCUCAAAGCCGGAGCCUCUUGGCAGAAGCAGAGAGCUCAGCCACCGGCUCCCACCUGCACACUGUCCUAUUCCUUUAAUUAAAAUAUAUGCUUUAUGCCACUGUAUAAGAAGUGGCCUAACUUUUUUCACGGCAAGACUCUAAGUUCACUGAAGAGGCUCAGAGAGUGGACUUAGCGUUCCUUAAGAACUCCAGAUAGGCACAAGCACAGUGGCUCACACCUGUAAUCCCAAGUACUUUGGGAGGCCAAGGCAGGAGGACUGCUUGAGGUCAGGAAUUCAUGACCAGCCUGGGCAACAUAGCAAGACGUCGUCUCCAUAAAAAUAUUAAAAAAAAAAAAAAAGAACUCCAGAUGAAGGCCAUAAUGAUCUCACUCAUGUAAACCUCCACACAUGCUUGAACACGCACAGACCCUGCUGGUGUCAGGUAGACAGCAGAUGUGCUGUCAAUGGAGGUCUGGUCACUACUGAUCAAGGGGAUAUUUUGAAGUUGAGCUUAAACACACACACGCAUACACACAUAUAUACACACACACACAUACACACUACCCGCACUAGGGGCUCACAGGAAACCUGAGCUGGAAUGGGACUUCCCUCGACCCUGAGGAGGCGGCUGAAGCUCUGCUGCUCCUGUGUCUGGCUCACACAUCAGGAGGUGCCGGUGCCUGUAAACACUGCCUUACAUGGAAGUGCACAGGGCCUUGGCACAUUCUUCUGGAAUGUUUUGAGUGUGAAAGAGGCAGUGACUGAGCCAACUGAGGGGCUGAGGAAAAGAUACGCUACGACGUGUUGCCUGUCCUGUUCCGUGAAGCCACUUGGAACCUCCUAUCCUUGGAUAAAGACCCUCUGAACUCGGCAGGAGUGGGGGAGUGUGUACGUGUGCGCAGUCUCUUUCUGCUAACCCGUAGCUCGCCUGCACCGCCACUGAGCUCCGUGUCCUGGCUUCACCGCAGGCCUUCAGUGCCCACUCCCACAACAGCCUCCCGGGGACGGUCCUCGGCAUUCCCGCCACCCCACGAGACACUGGAGCAGGGCCUGUGGGCUUCUUUGCAUCUGCAGUAGUUACCAUAGUCCCUGCACAUGGCUGGCCCUCAGGGGGUGUCUGCUGAAGAGUUAUGAAUACAUUGGCUGAAGCUGAAGCUGUAGUGUCUGGCAGAGCCAGGAGGCCUGAGACAUCUGAAGCCCACGCGUGACCUGUGGGAGGCCCUAGGAGCCCCAGCCCGGGCUCUCACCCGAGGCAUAGCCAGGCAGGGGAAAGCCAGGGGCAUCCAAAUGGGCAGAUAGAUGCCUCCCUCACUGAGCAAUCAGUGGCCAAACUUUUUGAAAAAGUGACUCACCCCUCCCCCAGCCCCUGUAAACAGCCCUCAGUUCCUAACUCCCAAAGCAGGCCUGCUCCAGUGGUCACCUGUAGUGGCCACCGUGUUUGUCUGCCUGGUCUCCAUCUCCCCUGCUUCUGGUCAUUGCAGACUGAUGUUCCUUUGGGUAAUCACUCCCCACUCCCUGCGUAGCUCAAGGGGCGGCCAGCCUGUUCUCACCCCGCUCCCAACCACCCAUUUCUUGCUGCAGGAGACUGGUUCAGGGAUGGGUGCCUCUAUUUGAGCUGGUCUAGUAAGAGUGAAACCUGGACUUGUAUACUCUGAGGAAUAAAGCGGCCUCUUUCAUUCACUUGUUACCUGGAGGAGGAAGGAGGGAGGGGUGAAGGCUCACUCCGGCCAGGUUAAGAUAUUUCAAGAAAAUCAGAUAUCGAGAUUUUCACAUGAAAUCUGAGUUUCAAAUAUCAGCAUCUGCUUCCUAUUACUUUAAAAUACUUCGAGUGCCAGACUAAAAGUGUCUGUGAGCCAGGUUGGGCCCAGAGGCUGCCAGGAGCGCCCUCGGCUCUGUAACAGCGCUACCUUCAGCAUGGCUAUUCAGAGACCCUCCCAAUCCGGCUGCAUUAUGCUUUCCCCAGCUCCGUACUCGGCCCUUCACUCUGGCCACCCAGACAAAGUGGGCCUCUCCCCUUUCUCCAGGUAGUGGUCUCCAAGGCCCAGAGGAAGCCCCCAACCCAGACACCUCCAGGCACCUGGCCCCUGCUGGUCUGUAAGCAACCCAGGCUCAUCAGACCUCAGGGCUUUUGCUUUGCCUGAAUUGUUCUUCCAAAGACCCACAUGCUUCAGUCACUCCCUUCCUGUUUUUGCCCAAAGGUCAGCUUAUCAGGGAGAUCUACCCUAUCCCACCCUUUAAAAAAGAAACCCGCUGGGCGCGGUGGCUUACGCCUGUAAUCCCAGCACUUUGGGAGGCCAAGGCAGGUGGGUCACCCGAGGUCAGGAGAUCAAGACCAGCCUGGCUAACAUGGUGAAACCUCAUUUCUACUAAAAAUACAAAAAAUUAGCCGGCGUGGUGGCGCGUGCCUGUAAUCUCAGCUACUCCGGAGGCUGGGACAGGAGAACUGCUUGAACCCGGGAGGCAGAGGUUGCAGUGAGCCGAGAUUGUGCCACUGCACUCCAGCUUGGGCAACAAGAGCAAAACUCUGUCUCGAAAAAACAAAAACCCUGCCUCAUACGCAGUACUCCCAUCCUCUCUUCCUGAUGUAUUUUUCUCCAUUGAACUUAUUAUCUAAAACAGGGGUCAGCAAACUAUAGUUCACAGGCCCAAUACAGCCUACUGCUUGUUUUUGUAAAUAAAGUUUUAUUGUAACACAGCCAUGCCCAUUUGUUUGUAUAGUGUCUAUGGCUGCUUUCGGCUACGAGCCCAGCUGAAUGGUUGUAGCAGCGACCACUGCCCUGCAAUGCUUCCAAUACCAACCAGUCCUUUAGAGAAAAAGUUUGCUGACCCUUGAUUUAAAAUACUAGAAUGUAGACUCCACGGAGGCAGAGAUUUUGUCAGUUUUGUUCACUGCCUUAUCCUCAACACCAAGUAACACUACCUGGCACUUGAGGGACUCUCAAAUAUCUGCUGAAUAAACAGACAAACCAACCAACCAAGUGAGACGACUCCAUGUCUUUGUGCACGCUGUUUCCUCAGCCCUUCCUCCUCCUCUGCGCAUCCCUCAUGGCUCAGCUCAGAGGUUCUCUCUAACGUGAAGCAUUCCCUGUCCCCUCCAGCUCCCCCACAAGCAAACAGUCCCUUCUUCCUUUAUGCGCCUCUUCUUUUAGCACUUCUAUAUUGAGAUGAUCUUUCUACCUGCUGUUCUCUCCUGCUAGACUAGGAGAGAUCUUGCUUGGAAACAAGAUCUCAUCUUGUGUCAGAAUCACAAAUGCUUGGCACAUCGAGCUCCCAAAUGACUGCUCACUGAACAUGUGGGUAGAUGGAUAAAGGAAUGUACCAAUGUCUGAGACUAAGUGAAUGACCUGGUGUUUUUGGGUCAUACGAUCUACUUCCUAAAGGUGGUGAAGAGAGACAGGUGGCUCAGAGGAUCAAGAGCCACCUCUGCAAAGUGCUCUGAGCUCUUAAAAGCUCUCGAAAAACCGGCUGGGCGCAGUGGCUCAUGCCUGUAAUCCCAGCACUUUGGGAGGCCAAGGUGGGUGGAUCAUAAGGUCAGGAGUUCCAGACCAGUCUGGCCAACAUGGUGAUACCCUGUCUCUACUAAAAAUACAAAAAAUUAGCUGGGCGUGGUGGUGUGCGCCUGUAGUCCCAGCUACUUGGGAGGCUGAGGCAGGAGAAUCGCGUGAACCCGGG